This 707-nucleotide long non-coding RNA is filed under the name Calidris pygmaea (Spoon-billed sandpiper). RNAcentral describes it as "lncRNA (ENSCPGG00000016940.1)". Lineage: Eukaryota; Metazoa; Chordata; Aves; Charadriiformes; Scolopacidae. The record is from RNAcentral.
CCCAGUGAGGAGAACGAGGACCCAGUUGUGUACUGGAGGAAAGGUCCUGACUGCUGCAACCAGCAGAGCCUCCAGCCGAGCUCUGACGUGGGUAGGCCACAAGUACACAUUAUAAAGAACACCCUCAGGGGAUUCUCCAUCUUAAAACUGAGCAACGUUGACCAGAAUGCCAGUAACUCCUAUUUCUGUGAUGUGAUGCUAACACAGAAAAUCCAGGGCAAACGUGGAAAUGGCACCAAGCUGACUGUGCAUGAUUUCAAAUGCAAAGACUGUAUAAAAUCAGAUAAGACCUGGUGGGGUUGGUUCCUUCUUCUUGGAUACACCAUCUUUGUCACCACAGUUAUCAUAGCUUUCAGCAUUCACCAGUGCUGUAAAAAGUGCAAGAGUGAGUCAAGAAACACAAAUAGCAGUGCUACCUUGACAAGUGAAUGGAUUUAUGACCAGCCAUCCAGACCAGUUAAUAAUGGAUUUAAUCAAGAAUAUGAAGAUAUGUCACUAGUAAGAACUUUCAGUGAUAUUGGAAGGAAAAUGAUAUGAAAAACAAGGUGCAUGUAGUUGUAACUAAGACAUGACCGUGUGUGAUGUGUGCUACUGAUAUCAAGAUAGAAAAGAAACAUAUACAUAAAUCACUUCAUUAACUUGGAAUGUUUUUUGUUCAAGUUUUUUUUAAUCUGAUCAUGUGUUUAUUUUAAACUAAAGAAGAUACC